GACGAACGCUGGCGGCGUGCUUAACACAUGCAAGUCGAACGGAAAGGCCCUGCUUUUGUGGGGUGCUCGAGUGGCGAACGGGUGAGUAACACGUGAGUAACCUGCCCUUGACUUUGGGAUAACUUCAGGAAACUGGGGCUAAUACCGGAUAGGAGCUCCUGCUGCAUGGUGGGGGUUGGAAAGUUUCGGCGGUUGGGUAUGGACUCGCGGCUUAUCAGCUUGUUGGUGGGGUAGUGGCUUACCAAGGCUUUGACGGGUAGCCGGCCUGAGAGGGUGACCGGCCACAUUGGGACUGAGAUACGGCCCAGACUCCAACGGGAGGCAGCAGUGGGGAAUAUUGCACAAUGGGCGGAAGCCUGAUGCAGCAACGCCGCGUGCGGGAUGACGGCCUUCGGGUUGUAAACCGAUUUCGCCUGUGACGAAGCGUGAGUGACGGUAAUGGGUAAAGAAGCACCGGCUAACUACGUG
This 468-nucleotide ribosomal RNA is filed under the name uncultured bacterium. Its description in RNAcentral is "partial 16S ribosomal RNA". It matches the Rfam family "Bacterial small subunit ribosomal RNA", at positions 28 to 507 of the family's 1533-position model. The record is from RNAcentral.